Galeopterus variegatus (Sunda flying lemur) is the source of this 1503-nucleotide long non-coding RNA. RefSeq lists it as uncharacterized. The record is from RefSeq and is a predicted model, not a curated record. The transcript is spliced from 2 exons. Lineage: Eukaryota; Metazoa; Chordata; Mammalia; Dermoptera; Cynocephalidae.
GGAAAAUGAAGAGAAAGUGAAGUUGGGCGUGACUAAUACCCACUGAGAGAGACCUGUGCUCAAGGAAUCGGCUGGGGACUGCUGCUACCUCUGAGAAGACACAGGUUGGUUGCAGACUCUGCAGAGGGCAAGGACUUCACAACUAGCCACAAAGACUCCUUCAUCCCCAGUUGCUAUCUUGAUUGGGCCUCCCAUAAUUGCUUUGCCAAAAUACCAGAGCCUUCAAGUGCCAAACAGAAUAUGUCCAGUGGGAUCUGGGUCAGAAGAAAGCAAAAACGAGGAACCUUCAUGCCCUUCUGAUUCUCCUCUACUAAGCCCCAGUCCCUUCCCUAAGUUUGUUUAAAUGCUUCUCUUCUGGAUUAAAAUGCCAGUUAAAUUCCAUAUGCUCCAGGAUCUUUGACUGAAAAAAAAUAAAAAGAAGGAAGAAGAGCAAGAAGGAAAGAUUUGUAAACUUAAAGAAAGCAACAAAGAUUGAGAAGCCAUGUACUCAAGUAGCCACUGAGGGAUCUGCCAUUUGGACCCUCCAGAGCUGGAUUUGAUGAGCUAACUGUGAAAUACCACAAGCCCGAGAACUCUGAAUUUUGGGACUUCUACCCAGAUGGAAAAAUAACAACUAUUUUUUGUUUGUUUGUUUGUAAAAUGCCUCUUAAAUUAUAUAUUUAUUUUAUUCUAUGUAUGUUAAUUUAUUUAGUUUUUAACAAUCUAACAAUAAUAUUUCAAGUGCCUAGACUGUUACUUUUGCAAUUUCCUGGCCCUCCACCCCACAUCCCUACUAUCUGGCUCAGUGUCAUCCUCCCCUGCUGCAAAUCUGAGAUGGCUCUAUCACCCAUCUGUAGUAAUUUAUUGUCUGUCCACAUUUUUGAAGACCUUCCAUGAUCAAAGUGCCACAUGGGGAGUUCUGUAUGGUUAGGAUGUAGGGUUAACUUGGUCAGAGCCACUCUAUGAGUUGGACUGCAGUCUUGUCUAGGCGAUUUUGUCUACUGUUUGUGUUUUGAAAGCCCAAGGUGCUGAUGUCAAAGUGUAACAGAUAUCGGUGUUUCCCUGUGUCCUCUCCCUGCCAAAUCUCAGAAGAGGUUGGGCUUCCAUGCCUGCAGCUUUCCCUCACCCCAUGGCCCCAGGCCCACAGAGUGGGAACUCACCCUCCCUUGUGUCAAGACAUUUCUCUUACUCCUGCCAUUCUUCUGGUGCUACUCCAUGCAGGGGUCAGUGCAGCAGAGGACAGUCUGGAGAAGGUCUUAGCAAAGAAGAAGGUCGAGGUGGAAAAGGGAACAUUGGAGCUGACUGAUAAUUGGUAAUUGAUUACCUACCAACUGCUACAGAGAAGGUUGGAGGUAGGGAAGGCUUUUGUGUAACCCCAUCCACCUCACCAAAACUACAAAGGUAUGCUGUCAUGGUCCCUUCUGGAAGUUUCUGGUGCCAUUUCUGAACUGUUACAACCUGUAUUUCCAAACCUGGUUCAUAUUUAUACUUCGCAAUCCAAAUAAAGAUAAUCCUUACUCCACA